Molecule: ribosomal RNA, 423 nt
Filed under: Bacillota bacterium
Lineage: Bacteria; Bacillati; Bacillota
Description: Firmicutes bacterium partial 16S ribosomal RNA
Rfam family: Bacterial small subunit ribosomal RNA
Source: RNAcentral
UAAGGAAUAUUGGACAAUGGGCGCAAGCCUGAUCCAGCCAUGCCGCGUGAAGGAUGAAUGUCCUCUGGAUUGUAACUUCUUUUAUUUGGGACGAAAAAAGAGCAUUCUUGCUCACUUGACGGUACCAAGUGAAUAAGCACCGGCUAACUCCGUGCCAGCAGCCGCGGUAAUACGGAGGGUGCAAGCGUUAUCCGGAUUCACUGGGUUUAAAGGGUGCGUAGGCGGGUAGGUAAGUCAGUGGUGAAAUCUCGGAGCUUAACUCCGAAACUGCCAUUGAUACUAUCUAUCUUGAAUAUUGUUGAGGUUUGCGGAAUAUGUCAUGUAGCGGUGAAAUGCAUAGAUAUGACAUAGAACACCUAUUGCGAAGGCAGCAGGCUAAACAUAUAUUGACGCUGAGGCACGAAAGCGUGGGGAUCAAACAGG